This 562-nucleotide ribosomal RNA is filed under the name Corvus corone (carrion crow). Its description in RNAcentral is "partial 16S ribosomal RNA". Lineage: Eukaryota; Metazoa; Chordata; Aves; Passeriformes; Corvidae. The record is from RNAcentral.
GUUGCCUGUGAAACGAAUCUUAGUUCACUCUUAAUUCUUCUCCAAGGAAACUAACAGAACCCUAAUGAAGCGAAUUAAGGGCAAUUUAAAGGGGGUACAGCUCCUUUAAAAAAGAAUACAAUCUCUACGAGCGGAUAAAUAAUCUAUAGAAAGAUCUCCUGUGGGCCUUCAAGCAGCCAUCAACAAAGAGUGCGUUAAAGCUCUUCGACUAAAAAAUAUAAGAACUUCAUGACUCCCUCAUCAUUAACAGGCUAACCUAUAUGUAAAUAGGAGAAUUAAUGCUAGAAUGAGUAACCAGGGUCCUCCCUCUACGACGCAAGCUUACAUCUUUACAUUAUUAACAAAUCACCAAGAUACGACAAAUCAAACAAGCAGAGUAUCAGGUAAAUUGUUAACCCGACAGAGGAGCGUCCAUUAAGAAAGAUUAAAACCUGUAAAAGGAACUAGGCAAACACAUCAAGGCCCGACUGUUUACCAAAAACAUAGCCUUCAGCAAACAACAAACAAGUAUUGAAGGUGAUGCCUGCCCUGUGACUUAGUGUUUAACGGCCGCGGUAUCCUA